GACGAACGCUGGCGGCGUGGAUUAGGCAUGCAAGUCGAACGGUAUCAUCCUUUCGGGGGUGAGAGAGUGGCGAACUGGUGAGUAACACGUAGGUUAUCUACCCUCAAGACGGGGACAACCCAGGGAAACUUGGGCUAAUACCGGAUGUGAGCAACUUUUAGUUGUUUGAAAGGUGGCGUAAGCUGUCGCUUGGGGAUGAGCCUGCGUCCUAUUAGUUAGUUGGUGAGGUAACGGCUCACCUAGGCAAUGAUAGGUAGGCGGCCUUAACGGGUGGUCGCCCACACUGGGAUUGAGAUACGGCCCAGACUCCUACGGGAGGCAGCAGUCGAGAAUAGUCUACAAUGGUCGGAAGACUGAUAGUGCGACGCCGCGUGAACGAUGAAUCCCCUCGGGGUUAAAGUUCUUUUAUAUGUGAGCAGUGCUUCUUAUAUUAACAGUAUGGGGAAGAGAUAUUAGCAUAUGAAUAAGCAACGGCUAACUCCGUGCCAGCAGCCGCGGU
Molecule: ribosomal RNA, 499 nt
Filed under: uncultured bacterium
Lineage: Bacteria
Description: bacterial SSU rRNA
Rfam family: Bacterial small subunit ribosomal RNA
Source: RNAcentral